GUCUGGCCUGCCCACUGAAUUAUUAAAGGGCCGCGGUAUCUCUGACCGUGCGAAGGUAGCAUAAUCAUUAGUCUUUUAAUUGGAGGCUCGUAUGAAAGGUCGAACGAGUGAUAAACUGUCUUAACAGAAAAAAUUGAAAUUAACUUUAAAGUGAAAAGGCUUUAAUAUAUUAGAAAGACGAUAAGACCCUAUAAAUCUUUACACCAUAUUUAGUAUUAGACCAAUCUGUUAGUUUAAGGAAAAAUACUAAAAAAGUGUUUUGUUGGGGCAACAAAGAUAUAAAUAAAUAACUGUUUUUAUUUACAUACAAAAAUUUUUGAUAAAUAAAUUGAUCCUUUUUAAAGAUUAAAAGAUUAAGUUACUUUAGGGAUAACAGCGUCAUUUUUCUUGAGAGUCCUCAUCGAAAGAAAAGUUUGCGACCUCGAUGUUGAAUUAAAAUUUCUUCAUAGUGCAGCAGCUAUGAGAGAGAGUCUGU
Molecule: ribosomal RNA, 475 nt
Filed under: Coenobita violascens
Lineage: Eukaryota; Metazoa; Arthropoda; Malacostraca; Decapoda; Coenobitidae
Description: partial large subunit ribosomal RNA
Rfam family: Bacterial large subunit ribosomal RNA
Source: RNAcentral